CCGGGCUGCGCGGCGGCGCGGCAGAAGGUGAAGGAGCAGCGCGAGGCGCGCAGCCGCCGCACCGUGGCGAGCACCAAGGCGGCCGGCCGGCGCCCCCAGCGCGCCCACAGGGAGGCUUAUGGUGUGCAGAAGCUUUUCACGUACAAAGGACAGAGACAUGCAGAGGACACGGAGAGACGCUUUUGACAAAACCAACCCUGGUCGCCCCGCCAUCCUGACUUCUAGCUCCCACACCGUGUAGUACUUUUUUUACAGCAACCUUGGCAGAGAUGCCACCCUUGAACCACCAGGCCUGGCUGCCCUGUUCUCAGAAUGUGAUGCCGCAGAGCCAUAGGUGUGCUUGCUCCUACACGUGACGUUUCCUUCCUGCUUCCUAAAGAACCCUGCAGAGGCCAGACUGACAGGGCUGCCUGACUUUGGCCUUCAGACUCCGAAACUGUGAACUGAAUAAACUCUACUGACUCAUCACCCGACGUCCAGCAUUUGUUAUACCAACAGGAAACAGAGAGGAAUCGUGGCUGCAGCUACAUGGGAGGCUAAGGUAGAGGAGUCACUUCAACCCAAAGGGUCAAGACCAGCCUGGGCACAUAA
Molecule: long non-coding RNA, 591 nt
Organism: Chionomys nivalis (European snow vole)
Lineage: Eukaryota; Metazoa; Chordata; Mammalia; Rodentia; Cricetidae
Exons: 3
Source: RefSeq, a predicted model, not a curated record